CUUGAAGUAAAUGAGUCAACACAGUCCACAUUUGAUUUUCAAAUUAAAAAGUGGCGGAUAUUUUGGUGGAAACUUGAUGAAAGCAAAUGAUGACACAAAAGUGUUUAUUUUACAUUCAGGAACUUGUAUUGAGUCGACAUGCUCCGCGUUUGAAUAUGAACUCCGUUUGAAAAACUGGCGGGCAGUUUGGUCAGUUUGGCAUCCUAUGAAUGUUGGUACCAGUGGCUGAUUUCCUGCACCGUGCACCGAUGCCAUUUUUCCAUACACACCGAUGCUUGGAGAAAACAAUCAGUGCUUUCAAGCAUUUGUUGUCAUUCACUGAGGAGCGCUUCAACAAAAUACAUUGUGGGGCACAGUGGACAUUUGCUUCAAAGUGUUCUACAUUUUAAAUAUGAAUUACCCCAAACAGCAAAUUUGAGUGAAUUUCUACAGACUGUAAACUUGUUUACCCAAACAGACAAUACAUUUCUAUCUUUUAAAAUGUUAUUGUAGUCUGCCUGCCUCUCACUCACUGUGUGGUAGAGGUCUGCAACCCGACGGGACCAGAGAACCCAGUGUUUCGUGCCGGGUUCGGGUCAGUUUUUCAAGUAGGACUUCGGGUUUGGGUUUGUAAUUAAUGAAAAAAUUAACAGGCUUACCAAACUUGUUUCGCGCACAUGCUCUCACUCACAGACACGUGCGAAAGGUGGAGUUAGGGCCCGUUCACAUGAAUGUGUUUUUGCGCGCAUCUGUUCUGUUUUCUCAUUGUUUAAACAAUGCUGGACGAAUGUCUUUGACAUUUGCACCACGUCUCGCUUUUUCUUCAGUGUCUCGCACAGGACUGGUAUAUUUUAAACACUAUGUCAAGUUAAAAAGAACUUCAAAUUGUCAGAUAUGCAUGUUGAGACACUUGUGCUCUGUUUCAUUCUUUGUGCUGCAUCUAGAUUGUUUUCAGCGCAGUUGUCACAAAGAUUCAACAUUCUAAACAAGUUCAGGCUGCAUAGAGGGGACAGUUGCAGUGUUUCAUAUUAUUCCAGAUUGUUCUGCACAAGGUGAAGUUUCAGCAAAUAAACGGUAAGGCAAUGCUUUUUUCAAGGGUCUGCUGUGCCUUGUUAAAAUUGUGUAUGUUUACUGUUUCAGUACUGUUACGAGUGUUGCCUAUAUGCUUACAUAAAAUAUAGCCUAUUGCAACAGUACUUGCUAGGAGAAGAAAUAAGUUAGUAAGCAACUUCGGGUCGGAUUCGGGCCUAAAAUCUGUGGGUAUCAUUUGGGCCAGGUAGGGUCAGGCCACACUGUCCCGGGUACGGGUCGUGUUCGGUUUCAAUUUAUGGCCCGUGCAGACCUCUAUUGCGUGGUUGUGGUAAAGUGAUUUUGAUGACAAGAAUUCUGUUUUAAAUUUUCAAAACAAUUUGGGUAUAUUUUAACCCAGCAUGCUGCAAUGACUUUGCAGCAAAGUUACUGAUGACAACAGUCCAACAGUUGGGAUAGUCAUUAAGGGAAACAGAGGUUUAUACUGAUGUCUCAGAUUUAAAGACAAAUUUACCUUUAGGUUUUCUUGCAUAUAAUAUAUAUAUAUACACCGAUCAGCCACAACAUUAAAACCACAUGCCUAAUAUUGUGUAGGUCCCCUACACAAGAUGGGCUGGUUUGAGUAUUUCUGUAACUGCUGAUCUCCUGGGAUAUUCAUGCACAACAGUCUCUAGAAUUUUCUCCGAAUGGUACCAAAAACAAAAAACAUCCAGAGAGUGGCAGUUCUGUGAACGGAAAUGCCUUGUUGAUGAGAGGUCAACAGAGAAUGGCCAGAUUGGUUCGAACUGACAAAGUCUACGGUAACUCAAAUAACCGCUCUGUACAAUUGUGGUGAGAACAAUAGCAUCUCAGAAUGCUCUUCUGAAAUGCGGGUUGGCACUCUUUUGGCGGCACAAGGCGGACCUACACAAUAUUAGGCAGGUGGUUUUAAUGUUGUGGCUGAUCGGUGUAUUCUUAUAUUAUUCAUUUGUGUUCACAGUCUUCAAGUGUCUCAUUGUAGUCAUGUUUUAAUGUGUUUUAGUGUGGCAUAUUAGUUAAAAAUGUUUUUUAUGUAAAAAUCGCUAAUUAAAUAAGUAGCUGAUCAUUUUUGCAUAUUCCGCUUAAUUAUGAAGUUUGCAAAAUGCAUUUGUCUUUUGCUGCUGCCAUUUUUUGUUUUUAAAUUUGUAUGUGAUGAUGCUGCAACAUUGUAAACUACACAGGUACUAUUUUCUAACUUUAUUUAGUGUUUAACAUUAAGACCAAAUGUAACUGUAGUUCAUGGUGAAAUAAUAGAUACUGUUCCUGUCUUGGACAUAUUUUGAUAUCAGACCUGUUUCUUUGUACUCCAUUUGUGUUUCAGUCUAUAUAGUAGCUGUUUUUGUAUUUUUCUUGGAUACAGUACAUUUACAAAUUUAUUGCUGUUGAAAUGUUUAAUGAAUUUGUAACAUUGUAAUAUGAAUAAAUAUUUUGAAUUUC
Molecule: long non-coding RNA, 2463 nt
Organism: Myxocyprinus asiaticus (Chinese sucker)
Lineage: Eukaryota; Metazoa; Chordata; Actinopteri; Cypriniformes; Catostomidae
Exons: 3
Source: RefSeq, a predicted model, not a curated record